GAAAACUUGGUCCUAAUUUCCAUUACUUUUCUAACCUAUAAUGAUACAUGCAAAGGAGACCACCCCCUUAACCAGUGAGGACUUUACUUAUAAAUAAAUAUUUAUAGAAAAAUGGUAUAAGAAAAAGAUUUUUUUUUUCAAACAUAGAAACCCACAACAGCAGUACUAGAAAUUAAGCAAUUAGUAAAAGCUAGACUUAAUAAUAGAAUUUAGAAUUGGUAAAAAUACGUGCCAGCCACCGCGGUUAUACGUAAAAUACAAAAAGUAAUUUUAACCACUCUUAGUGAUCAAAUUCUAACUAAACAAAUAAAGUGAAAAGAAUUUUAUUUUAAAUUAACAGUCAAAUGUAAAAAAUAAAAGAAAACCCUUUACGCAAAAGCAUUUCACUAAAUAAAACAUAAUCACGUAAAUAUAAAAACAAACCAGGAUUAGAGACCCUGCUAUGUUAAACCGUAAACAAAAAGAAAGAACUACUAGUAAAAACUUAAAACUUAAAGGACUUGGCGGUCUUUUAGACCUUCCUAGAGGAGCCUGUCACAUAAUAGAUAAACCACAAAACACCUUACCUACCUAAGAAAACAGUUUGUAUAUCAUCAUCGUCAGCUCACCUUAUAAAAGAAAGUAAGCACAAAGGAUAAAUUUCCUAAACGUUAGAUCAAGAUGCAACCAAUAGACAGGAGAUUGAUGGGCUACAAUAUUCAAAACGAAAAACGAAUUUUUAACUUAAACAAGAAAAAGAAGUAGGAUUUAGCAGUAAGAGAAAUUAAGAAAAGACCCCUGAAAAAGCUCUAAAAUACGUACACACCGCCCGUCACUCUCUUUAUCAUAAAAAGAGAAAAGUCGUAACAAGGUAAGAGUAGGGGAACCUGCUCUUGGAAG
This 879-nucleotide non-coding RNA is filed under the name Phanogenia gracilis. The record is from RNAcentral. Lineage: Eukaryota; Metazoa; Echinodermata; Crinoidea; Comatulida; Comatulidae.